UGGCGCUGGGAAGAGGAAGAAGAACAUUCGCCCUCCUCCUACCAGCGCGCGGGCGGCGGCGGCGGCGGCACCGGGGUCACGAACUCUGACCUUUCACUGACAAAAACAAUAACAAACCCCCCCUUCCCCGCGACCCCGGCGGCGCCCCCGGGCCCGCCCCCGCCCCCACCUCGGCGUCUCUUCUCUCGCCUGCUGCCCCGCGAGCCCGCGGCCCCCGGGCUCCCGCCAUCCGCCAACGCCGGGAGCCCGGCCUCCCCGCGCCCUGCCCUCCGCGUCGGGGGCCGUCCGCCGCAGACACGGGACCUGCUUCGAGGCCGCUUUGGCGCCAAAUCCUGAGGUUCUCUAAUGAUCUUGCUUCACCAUGGCUACAAAUAUGGAGGGGCUGGUUCAGCACAGAGUGGGGACCCAGCAGGUGGCUGAGGUACCACGGACACAGACCUCUCGGCCGGAAUCUCCAGGGAUGACCAGCCCCUCCCCGCGCAUCCAGAUAAUCUCCACCGACUCUGCGGUAGCCUCACCUCAGCGCAUUCAGAUUGUGACAGACCAGCAGACAGGACAGAAGAUCCAGAUAGUCACCGCAGUGGACGCCUCCGGAUCCCCCAAGCAGCAGUUCAUCCUGACCAGCCCAGAUGGAGCUGGAACUGGGAAGGUGAUCCUGGCUUCCCCGGAGACCUCCAGUGCCAAGCAGCUCAUAUUCACCACCUCAGACAACCUCGUCCCUGGCAGGAUCCAGAUCGUCACGGACUCUGCUUGUGUGGAACGUUUGCUGGGGAAGGCUGACGUCCAGCGGCCCCAGGUGGUAGAGUACUGUGUAGUCUGUGGCGACAAAGCCUCUGGCCGUCACUAUGGGGCUGUCAGUUGUGAAGGUUGCAAAGGUUUCUUCAAAAGGAGCGUAAGGAAAAACCUGACCUACAGCUGCCGGAGCAACCAAGACUGCAUCAUCAAUAAACAUCACCGGAACCGCUGUCAGUUUUGCCGGCUGAAAAAAUGCUUAGAGAUGGGCAUGAAAAUGGAAUCUGUACAGAGUGAACGGAAGCCCUUUGAUGUACAACGGGAGAAACCAAGCAAUUGUGCUGCUUCAACUGAGAAAAUCUAUAUCCGGAAGGACCUGAGAAGUCCUCUGAUAGCCACUCCCACGUUUGUGGCAGAUAAAGAUGGAGCAAGACAAACAGGUCUUCUUGAUCCAGGGAUGCUUGUGAACAUCCAACAGCCUUUGAUACGCGAGGAUGGUACGGUUCUCCUGGCCACGGAUUCCAAGGCAGAAACAAGCCAGGGAGCUCUGGGCACACUGGCAAAUGUAGUAACCUCCCUUGCCAACUUGAGUGAGUCCCUUAACAAUGGUGACGCUUCAGAAAUGCAGCCGGAGGACCAGUCCGCAAGUGAGAUUACUCGGGCAUUUGAUACCUUAGCUAAAGCACUUAAUACCACAGACAGCUCCUCACCUCCGAGCCUAGCAGACGGCAUAGAUGCCAGUGGAGGAGGCGGCAUCCACGUCAUCAGCAGAGACCAGUCCACACCCAUCAUCGAGGUCGAAGGGCCCCUCCUUUCAGAUACUCAUGUCACAUUUAAGCUCACCAUGCCCAGCCCAAUGCCAGAGUACCUCAACGUGCACUACAUCUGCGAGUCAGCGUCCCGCCUGCUUUUCCUCUCCAUGCACUGGGCCAGGUCAAUCCCAGCUUUUCAGGCACUUGGGCAGGACUGCAACACCAGCCUGGUGCGGGCCUGCUGGAACGAGCUCUUCACCCUCGGCCUCGCCCAGUGUGCCCAGGUCAUGAGUCUCUCCACUAUCCUGGCGGCCAUUGUCAACCACCUGCAGAACAGCAUCCAGGAAGAUAAACUUUCUGGAGACCGGAUAAAGCAAGUCAUGGAGCACAUCUGGAAGCUUCAGGAAUUCUGUAACAGUAUGGCGAAGCUGGAUAUAGACGGCUAUGAGUAUGCAUACCUUAAAGCUAUAGUUCUCUUUAGCCCCGACCAUCCAGGUUUGACCAGCACAAGCCAGAUUGAAAAAUUCCAAGAAAAGGCACAGAUGGAAUUGCAGGACUACGUUCAGAAAACCUAUUCGGAAGACACGUACCGGUGAGGCGCAAAGAUACACACUCUUGCUGUGGGGCAGGAGGGGGUGCAGCUGGAUCUGUAGUCACAAAUAUAAAUUGUCAGCCUUUCCACGUCUGGCAGCCCGGUGAAGCCUCCUUUUGAUCACACUUUAGUUCUUGCAUUUCAUGGAUGGUAACAGUGUGUGGAAAGUGCUAGGUGGGAGGGGCAGGAAUACUGGACCAUUCCAGUGUUUGCUGGGUAAACUGCAGGUGGAACCUUGGGUGGUUCUUCUGUAACAUGAGGGUUUGGAAUCGUUGCUGUGUAAUUCCCUCCGAGGCUCACGUCGUGCACAGACGGUAGUUCUCACAGAGAUUCCCUUUGUCCAGAAGAGCAGCUGUGCCCCCGUGGUCUGCGUCCACUGAAGAGGCCAAGCUAGCGUACGUGGUAGCAAAGUUUUUGUUGACAGAAACCGACCCCGACCUCUACAAAGGAGUGAGUGGGUUAUAGAAAAUAGUAAUUUUGCCGUCAGAUAAACUGAUUUUUUUUGAACUCCCAUUUUUUAGGUAAAAAAGUUAGUUUGUAUUAUUUGUAAUGAUUGGGCAGCAAAUACAUGUAUAUACACAUAUACUCAUAGAUAUACAUGUGAGCCUUUGUCAUGCAAAACUGAACAGGAAAGUUCUGAAAUAGGGCAGGAUGCCUGGCAGGCUUUCCAGCCAAGGAGUGGAGGAGCUCUUUCCCCAUGACCACUUCCAACCCACUGGAAACUCCAUGAAUUACUGAGGUCAUGUCAGGCAAACUAUUUAAUAUUCCCUUCCCCGCCCUGUCCUCUCAAAAUAAACACUGGAGCAAAAUUGACCCAUAAGAUACACGGCCCCACUUCUCUCCAUGUGUGUCCCCUUCACAGACCUCAAUCCAAAGAUGCCCCACAGAAUGAGGAUGCCAGGCCCCAGGGACCCAUUUCUGUGGUGUGAUUGGCAGACCUGUAGCUGGCCCUGCUGGGAGAGAACCUCCUCUGCUUUAGGCACACCUCCAUGGCCCACGCAUAGCUUUUGCCAGAGCAGGAUCCAUUUUGACUGGAAUCUAAGAAAACCUCACCAUGAGUCUCAAGUGAUUACAGCCUCAAUACAUAUAGAAUGGGACUGCCAAUGGGAGCUCUGCCACCCAUACCCAGAGCUCAUCCAACCCAGCCGGGUACGCAGGCAAGCUGUCCCCAGAGGUAGCCAUGGGCCUACUCCCACACAGUGUCCGUGGUCAGAAGAGACUGGAAAUGCCCCUGUAGGGACUGCUAACAGAACCACACAGCACACUAGAGCCGUCUUGACAACAGCAGCUCUCUGGCCUUUGAAAGUAGGUGUUUCUACAAAAAUCUAGUGAGGGACCUAGGGAUAGAUAAAGGGCAUGGUAAGAAAAGUGAUUUGGAACCAAAAAUGAGAUAAGGGAGGCUUUCUCAUAGGAUAGGACUCAGAAACUCACUCAGAGACAGUUCCCCCAAAAGCCCUAGGACGGUUGACACCCGUUUCUGCAUUGUUUUAGUCUUUCCCAUUUUAUGCCUUUUCUCAUACUGUCUGUUCCUCCUGAAAUAACCCUUCUAUCCCUCCCCAUUGUUUAUAUCUCUGCUGAGAGAAACCUCAGCCAGCCUCUAAGGCCCAGCUGACCUGUCCCCCCGCACACCCCAAGAAGUCCUCCUUGAUUGACCCUUGCUGAGUUUCCAAGAUCCUUCAUCCUGUCUGCCCCUUCUGGUCUGUGGUGGUGUCCCCUUACAUCUUUGUGUGCCCUGCAAGACUCAUGGUGGCUGGGCGAAUGGACGAUGAUGUUGGAAUGCCGCUUGCAUAAUCUGUAUUUUCUCUUUUUAAAAAUAACAGUGUUCACUGUAGGAAAGAAAUGAGAACAUUCUGGAAAGUAAAAUGGAAGCUUUUCAGUUCCUGUAAAUAGCACUAUCCAUAGUUAACGUUUUAUGCAUUUCCUUCCAGAAAUUUUUUAUGUCUGUGUAACUGGAAUCAUAAAAUCCAAAGUAAGGUUUUGUAACCCUUUCUUCAUGUAAUGUUCAACAAGCAUACUUCUGCAUUUUCUGUGGUUGAGGAGAUGCUGUCAUUUCUUUAGAACUUUCCUGCUAAUGAAAAUAUAGGUUGUUUCCAGACUAGGCUGGCACGCAGUGAGCAUCCUUGCACACGUAGCUUUGUACAGUGUCUAGAGCCAUCAGAACGGGGUCAUGAUGUGUCCUCCCACCCAGGGUGUUUUCAAAAUGAAAACAAUUUUAUUGCUUCAUUUUUUAAUUAGGAUGCUAUGUGAACACUAGAGUAAUACAGACAAAGGUUUAAUAAGUAAAAGCAUUCCAGAUCCCCAAACCCAGAGAUCAGGGUUUUGGUGAACAUUUUGGUGAACAUCCUUCCAAAUACUUUCUUAUACAUGCCACACAAAUAAAUUUACACAAAUGAGAUUGUGUUACACUUGCUGCUUCCCAGUCUCCUUUUAGGUUUUUACUUGGCUGUACAUCACAGACGUAACAUCAGUGAAUAUGUAUCUUUUUUAUACUUUUUGCUGAAUAUACAGUGUGCUCUUUUAUAUGGAGAUACCAUAAUUUAACCCAUCCUUUAUUGAUUUCCAAAUUUUUCUCUUUUGGUGGAGGUGGGGAGAAUUGUUAUAGAUGAAGGAAACAUUUGUACAUACAUCUUUGUACUUGGUUUUGAUUUUCUCUCAUGAUAAAUCCCUACAAGAGGAACUGUUGAAAUUUGAAAUACAGGGGGUAGGUCAUGGGUCUGUUUGUUUGUUUCAAUUCCAAGCAGUGCGGAGAGGGUCCCUGGGAGCCUGUCCAGGGAGAAGUCUGAAGGGCAGUGAACUCCCUUUCUCUAAUGAGCCUCCCUUUUACAGAUUGGCCCGGAUUCUCGUUCGCCUGCCAGCACUCAGGCUGAUGAGCUCAAACAUAACAGAAGAACUUUUUUUUACUGGUCUCAUUGGCAAUGUUUCAAUAGACAGCAUAAUCCCCUACAUCCUCAAGAUGGAGACAGCAGAGUAUAACGGCCAGAUCACCGGAGCCAGUCUAUAGUGUGCACCGCACGCCUGCCGAGAAGCAGAAGGAUCCUCCCAGGACCGCUCAGAUAACAGAAAA
Acinonyx jubatus (cheetah) is the source of this 5140-nucleotide RNA transcript. It is a transcript of the gene named nuclear receptor subfamily 2 group C member 2, with no coding region annotated. Lineage: Eukaryota; Metazoa; Chordata; Mammalia; Carnivora; Felidae. The record is from RefSeq and is a predicted model, not a curated record. The transcript is spliced from 15 exons.